CACAUGCAAGUCGAACGGUGAUGUCAGAGCUUGCUCUGGCGGAUCAGUGGCGAACGGGUGAGUAACACGUGAGUAACCUGCCCCCGACUCUGGGAUAACUGCUAGAAAUGGUAGCUAAUACCGGAUAUGACGAUUGGCCGCAUGGUCUGGUCGUGGAAAGAAUUUCGGUUGGGGAUGGACUCGCGGCCUAUCAGGUUGUUGGUGAGGUAAUGGCUCACCAAGCCUACGACGGGUAGCCGGCCUGAGAGGGUGACCGGCCACACUGGGACUGAGACACGGCCCAGACUCCUACGGGAGGCAGCAGUGGGGAAUAUUGCACAAUGGGCGCAAGCCUGAUGCAGCAACGCCGCGUGAGGGAUGACGGCCUUCGGGUUGUAAACCUCUUUUAGUAGGGAAGAAGCGAAAGUGACGGUACCUGCAGAAAAAGCACCGGCUAACUACGUGCCAGCAGCCGCGGUAAUACGUAGGGUGCAAGCGUUGUCCGGAAUUAUUGGGCGUAAAGAGCUCGUAGGCGGUUUGUCGCGUCUGCUGUGAAAUCCCGAGGCUCAACCUCGGGUCUGCAGUGGGUACGGGCAGACUAGAGUGCGGUAGGGGAGAUUGGAAUUCCUGGUGUAGCGGUGGAAUGCGCAGAUAUCAGGAGGAACACCGAUGGCGAAGGCAGAUCUCUGGGCCGUAACUGACGCUGAGGAGCGAAAGCAUGGGGAGCGAACAGGAUUAGAUACCCUGGUAGUCCAUGCCGUAAACGUUGGGAACUAGAUGUGGGGACCAUUCCACGGUCUCCGUGUCGCAGCUAACGCAUUAAGUUCCCCGCCUGGGGAGUACGGCCGCAAGGCUAAAACUCAAAGGAAUUGACGGGGGCCCGCACAAGCGGCGGAGCAUGCGGAUUAAUUCGAUGCAACGCGAAGAACCUUACCCAGGCUUGACAUAUACCGGAAACAUGCAGAGAUGUGUGCCCCGCAAGGUCGGUAUACAGGUGGUGCAUGGUUGUCGUCAGCUCGUGUCGUGAGAUGUUGGGUUAAGUCCCGCAACGAGCGCGACCCUCGUUCUAUGUUGCCAGCACGUAAUGGUGGGAACUCAUAGGAGACUGCCGGGGUCAACUCGGAGGAAGGUGGGGAUGACGUCAAAUCAUCAUGCCCCUUAUGUCUUGGGCUUCACGCAUGCUACAAUGGCCGGUACAAAGGGCUGCGAUACCGUAAGGUGGAGCGAAUCCCAAAAAGCCGGUCUCAGUUCGGAUUGAGGUCUGCAACUCGACCUCAUGAAGUCGGAGUCGCUAGUAAUCGCAGAUCAGCAACGCUGCGGUGAAUACGUUCCCGGGCCUUGUACACACCGCCCGUCAAGUCAUGAAAGUCGGUAACACCCGAAGCCAGUGGCCUAACCGCAAGGGAGGAGCUGUCGAAGGUGGGAUCGGUGAUUAGGACUAAGUCGUAACAAGGUAGCCGUACCGGAAGGUGCGGCUGGAUCCCU
This 1464-nucleotide ribosomal RNA is filed under the name Clavibacter michiganensis subsp. insidiosus. RNAcentral's name for it is "bacterial SSU rRNA". It matches the Rfam family "Bacterial small subunit ribosomal RNA". Lineage: Bacteria; Bacillati; Actinomycetota; Actinomycetes; Micrococcales; Microbacteriaceae. The record is from RNAcentral.